Molecule: ribosomal RNA, 464 nt
Filed under: uncultured bacterium
Lineage: Bacteria
Description: partial 16S ribosomal RNA
Rfam family: Bacterial small subunit ribosomal RNA
Source: RNAcentral
CUACGGGCUGCUGCAGUGGGGAAUAUUGGACAAUGGACGAAAGUCCGAUCCAGCGACACCGCGUGGGGGAUGAAGGCUUUCGGGUUGUAAACCCCUUUUCUGGAGGAAGAAUAAGGUUGGGAGGAAAUGCCCAUCCGAUGACGGUACUCCAGGAAUAAGCAUCGGCAAACUUCGUGCCAGCAGCCGCGGUAAGACGAAGGAUGCGAGCGUUAUCCGGAAUUACUGGGCGUAAAGGACGUCUAGGCGGUUGGAUAAGUCAUUUGUGAAAUCCCAGGGCUUAACCCUGGAAGGUCUUGUGAUACUGUCCGGCUUGGGUGUAGGAGAGGAGAGCGGAACUCACAGAGUAGCGGUGGAAUGCGUAGAUACUGUGAGGUACCCCGAUGGCGAAGGCAGCUCUCUGGCCUACUACCGACGCUGAAGCGUGAAAGCGUGGGGAGCAAAGGGGAUUAGAUACCCGGGUAGUC